UACGUAGGAGGCAAGCGUUGUCCGGAAUCGCUGGGCGUAAAGGGCGCGUAGGUGGCGCGGGCAGUCAACGGUGAAAGUUCGGGGCUCAACCCUGAAUCGGCCGUCGAUACUCCCGGGCUUGAGCACUGUAGAGGCAGAUGGAAUUCCGGGUGUAGCGGUGAAAUACGUAGAGAUUGGGAAGAACACCAGUGGCGAAGGCGGCUAUCUGGACGGUUUCUGACGCUAAGACGCGAAAGCGUGGGGAGCAAACAGG
Molecule: ribosomal RNA, 253 nt
Filed under: uncultured bacterium
Lineage: Bacteria
Description: partial 16S ribosomal RNA
Rfam family: Bacterial small subunit ribosomal RNA
Source: RNAcentral